This 366-nucleotide long non-coding RNA is filed under the name Homo sapiens (human). RNAcentral's name for it is "non-protein coding LINC02229:11". Lineage: Eukaryota; Metazoa; Chordata; Mammalia; Primates; Hominidae. The record is from RNAcentral.
AAUCUGUUGGCAUGACAGGUCAGAGAAGCCGUGAAGGACAUGGAAGGAAGUAGAUGGAACUGGAAACAGGAGGCCAACCCCAGCAGUCAGUGGUGCUCAGAAAAAAAUAAGACACUGAAAUUUGAGGACUUAAUGGAGUUUGGUGCCUUCAGUUAGCUGAUGUCUAUGAAGCCUGACCAGUCUACUUCUAGUCUAUAAGAUCAUGUGGAAGCUUCAGUGACAAACUUCUACUUUACUAAUGAUUUUAUGAUCCUGUUACCCAUUGCAAUUGCUUAAAUGGUAUUUUAAUUAGCUGCUUUAAAUGACUUUGCUUUUUUACAAAAAGCAGUGUGUGCUUUAGUUUAAAAUAUGGGUCACUGGUGUUUC